GGGGUUGUGGCUCAGUGAUAGAGUGCUUGCCUACCAUGUAUGAGACACUGAGUUCAAUUCUUAGCACCA
RNAcentral lists this transfer RNA (69 nucleotides) under Ictidomys tridecemlineatus (thirteen-lined ground squirrel). RNAcentral describes it as "Spermophilus tridecemlineatus (thirteen-lined ground squirrel) tRNA". It matches the Rfam family "tRNA". Rfam says of the family: Transfer RNA (tRNA) molecules are approximately 80 nucleotides in length. Their secondary structure includes four short double-helical elements and three loops (D, anti-codon, and T loops). The record is from Rfam by way of RNAcentral. RNAcentral also lists the same sequence under 1 other name. Lineage: Eukaryota; Metazoa; Chordata; Mammalia; Rodentia; Sciuridae.